Molecule: ribosomal RNA, 190 nt
Filed under: uncultured bacterium
Lineage: Bacteria
Description: partial 16S ribosomal RNA
Rfam family: Bacterial small subunit ribosomal RNA
Source: RNAcentral
CUCGCCUGCAUGAAGCUGGAAUUGCUAGUAAUCGCGGAUCAGCAAGCCGCGGUGAAUACGUUCCCGGGCCUUGUACACACCGCCCGUCACACCAUGAGAGUCGGGAACACCCGAAGUCCGUAGUCUAACCGCAAGGGGGGCGCGGCCGAAGGUGGGUCCGGUAAUUGGGGUGAAGUCGUAACAAGGUAUC